UCAGGCCUAACACAUGCAAGUCGAGCGGUAGCGGGAAGAGCUUGCUCUUUGCCGACGAGCGGCGGACGGGUGCGUAACACGUAGGAAUCUGCCUGGUAGUGGGGGAUAGCCCGGAGAAAUCCGGAUUAAUACCGCAUACGCACUAGCUCUUCAAGAGCGGUGGAAAGGAGGGGAUCUUCGGACCUUUCGCUAUCAGAUGAGCCUGCGUCGGAUUAGCUUGUUGGUGGGGUAAAGGCCUACCAAGGCGACGAUCCGUAGCUGGUCUGAGAGGAUGAUCAGCCACACUGGGACUGAGACACGGCCCAGACUCCUACGGGAGGCAGCAGUGGGGAAUAUUGCACAAUGGGCGAAAGCCUGAUGCAGCCAUGCCGCGUGUGUGAAGAAGGCCCUAGGGUUGUAAAGCACUUUCAGUGGAGAGGAAAGGUUGAAGGUUAAUACCCUUCAGCUGUGACGUUACCCACAGAAGAAGCACCGGCUAACUCCGUGCCAGCAGCCGCGGUAAUACGGAGGGUGCGAGCGUUAAUCGGAAUUACUGGGCGUAAAGCGUGCGUAGGCGGCCACCUAAGUUGGAUGUGAAAGCCCCGGGCUCAACCUGGGAACUGCAUCCAAAACUGGGUGGCUAGAGUACGGGAGAGGAGUGUGGAAUUUCCUGUGUAGCGGUGAAAUGCGUAGAUAUAGGAAGGAACACCAGUGGCGAAGG
This 700-nucleotide ribosomal RNA is filed under the name uncultured bacterium. RNAcentral describes it as "bacterial SSU rRNA". It matches the Rfam family "Bacterial small subunit ribosomal RNA", at positions 42 to 721 of the family's 1533-position model. The record is from RNAcentral.